AACGCGAAGAACCUUACCUGGCCUUGACAUCCACGGAAUUCGGCAGAGAUGCCUUAGUGCCUUCGGGAACCGUGAGACAGGUGCUGCAUGGCUGUCGUCAGCUCGUGUUGUGAAAUGUUGGGUUAAGUCCCGCAACGAGCGCAACCCUUAUCCUUUGUUGCCAGCGAGUAAUGUCGGGAACUCAAAGGAGACUGCCGGUGACAAACCGGAGGAAGGUGGGGAUGACGUCAAGUCAUCAUGGCCCUUACGGCCAGGGCUACACACGUGCUACAAUGGCGCAUACAAAGAGAAGCGAACUCGCGAGAGCAAGCGGACCUCACAAAGUGCGUCGUAGUCCGGAUCGGAGUCUGCAACUCGACUCCGUGAAGUCGGAAUCGCUAGUAAUCGUAGAUCAGAAUGCUACGGUGAAUACGUUCCCGGGCCUUGUACACACCGCGUGUCU
RNAcentral lists this ribosomal RNA (442 nucleotides) under uncultured bacterium. Its description in RNAcentral is "bacterial SSU rRNA". It matches the Rfam family "Bacterial small subunit ribosomal RNA", at positions 958 to 1399 of the family's 1533-position model. The record is from RNAcentral.